Molecule: ribosomal RNA, 240 nt
Filed under: uncultured bacterium
Lineage: Bacteria
Description: partial 16S ribosomal RNA
Rfam family: Bacterial small subunit ribosomal RNA
Source: RNAcentral
GAUCCUGGCUCAGGAUGAACGCUAGCGACAGGCCUAACACAUGCAAGUCGAGGGGCAGCGGAGAGGUAGCAAUACCUUUGCCGGCGACCGGCGCACGGGUGAGUAACACGUAUGCAAUCCACCUGUAACAGGGGGAUAACCCGGAGAAAUCCGGACUAAUACCCCAUAAUAUGGGCGCUCCGCAUGGAGAGCCCAUUAAAGAGAGCAAUUUUGGUUACAGACGAGCAUGCGCUCCAUUAG